RNAcentral lists this ribosomal RNA (473 nucleotides) under uncultured bacterium. RNAcentral's name for it is "bacterial SSU rRNA". It matches the Rfam family "Bacterial small subunit ribosomal RNA", at positions 30 to 497 of the family's 1533-position model. The record is from RNAcentral.
AUUGAACGCUGGCGGCAUGCUUUACACAUGCAAGUCGAACGGCAGCACGGGUGCUUGCACCUGGUGGCGAGUGGCGGACGGGUGAGUAAUGCAUCGGAACGUGUCCUAAAGUGGGGGAUAACGCAUCGAAAGAUGUGCUAAUACCGCAUAUUCUCUGAGGAGGAAAGUAGGGGAUCGAAAGACCUUAUGCUUUUGGAGCGGCCGAUGUCUGAUUAGCUAGUUGGUAAGGUAAUGGCUUACCAAGGCGACGAUCAGUAGUUGGUCUGAGAGGACGACCAGCCACACUGGGACUGAGACACGGCCCAGACUCCUACGGGAGGCAGCAGUGGGGAAUUUUGGACAAUGGGCGCAAGCCUGAUCCAGCCAUGCCGCGUGAGUGAAGAAGGCCUCGGUUGUAAGACUCUUCUAGCGGAGAAACGACAUGGUAAGUACCUACGUGUGGAUGACGGUACCGGAAGUAAGAAGACACCGGC